This 317-nucleotide long non-coding RNA is filed under the name Mytilus galloprovincialis (Mediterranean mussel). Lineage: Eukaryota; Metazoa; Mollusca; Bivalvia; Mytilida; Mytilidae. The record is from RNAcentral.
GUGUUACAUUUUAACGUUACGUCGUUUGUUUUCUCUUAUUUUUUAGUGUAAAUUCACAUUGCGAUAAGACGUGUCACGGUACUUGUCUAUCCCAAAUUUAUGUAUUUGGUUUUGAUGUUAUAUUUGUUAUUCUCGUGUGAUUUUGUCUGAUGCUUGGUCCGUUUCUGUGUGUGUUACAUUGUAGUGUUGUGUCGUUGUUCUCCUCUUAUAUUUAAUGCGUUUCCCUCAGUUUUAGUUUGUUACCCCGAUUUUAUUUUUUGUCCAUGGAUUUAUGAGUUUGAACAGCGAUAUACUACUGUUGCCUUUAUUUAUUAUCC